RNAcentral lists this ribosomal RNA (497 nucleotides) under uncultured bacterium. RNAcentral's name for it is "partial 16S ribosomal RNA". It matches the Rfam family "Bacterial small subunit ribosomal RNA", at positions 28 to 507 of the family's 1533-position model. The record is from RNAcentral.
GAUGAACGCUAGCGGCGUGCCUAAUACAUGCCAGUCGAGCGAAAGGACGAGAAGCUUGCUUCUCUGAUGUUAGCGGCGGACGUGUGAGUCACACGUGUAUAAUCUCCCUAUCAGUGUGGGAUCACUUCGGGAAACCGGAUCUAAUCCCGGAGAAUAUUUUGAAGCGCAUGGUUGAAAAGAGAAAGACGGUGUUGCUGUCACGUCUCGCUGGAUACGCGCUGCAUUGGGUGGUUGGUAAGGUCAGAGCUUAUCAAGGCAACGAUGCGUAGCCGAGCUGAGGGGGUGAUAGGCCACACUGGAACUGUGACACGGUCCAGACUACUACGGGAGGGAGCAGUAGGGAAUCGGCCGCAAUGGGCGGAAGCCUUACGGAGCAACGCCGCGUGAGUGAUGAAGGUCUUCGGAUCGUAAAACUCGGUUAUUAGGGAAGAACAUAUGUGUAAGUAACUGUACACAUCUUGACGGUAACUAGUUAGAAAGCCACGGCUAACUACGUG